This 440-nucleotide ribosomal RNA is filed under the name uncultured bacterium. Its description in RNAcentral is "partial 16S ribosomal RNA". It matches the Rfam family "Bacterial small subunit ribosomal RNA", at positions 338 to 795 of the family's 1533-position model. The record is from RNAcentral.
CCUACGUGCGGCAGCAGUGGGGAAUAUUGCACAAUGGGGGAAACCCUGAUGCAGCAACGCCGCGUGAGUGAAGAAGUAUUUCGUUAUGUAAAGCUCUAUCAGCAGGGAAGAAGAUGACGGUACCUGAGUAAGAAGCCCCGGCUAACUACGUGCCAGCAGCCGCGGUAAUACGUAGGGGGCAAGCGUUAUCCGGAUUUACUGGGGGGAAAGGGAGCGUAGACGGGAGUGCAAGUCUGGAGUGAAAGCCCGGGGCUCAACCCCGGGACUGCUCUGGAAACUGUGCGGCUAGAGUGCAGGAGGGGUAGGCGGAAUGUCUAGUGUAGCGGUGAAAUGCGUAGAUAUUAGGAGGAACACCAGUGGCGAAGGCGGCCUGCUGGACAGUAACUGACGUUGAGGCUCGAAAGCGUGGGGAGCAAACAGGAUUAGAUACCCCUGUAGUC